UGUUCGCUGCGAUGAAUCACAAGGAAGGUAUGUGUGUAAGUUGGCUCUUGAAAAAGGCCUCCUUACUUGAUUAUAAAUCCUAAACUGGUCAUAAAGUCUUGAGCAAAUG
This is a non-coding RNA of Triticum aestivum (bread wheat), 109 nucleotides long. The record is from Rfam. NCBI's taxonomy places the organism in Eukaryota, Viridiplantae, Streptophyta, Magnoliopsida, Poales, Poaceae.